CCCUAGUCCUAUCACUGUUUGCCUGUGAGAAGAGACCGACCCCCACCUGGCUACACCCUCCUGUCAGGGACUUGUAGAUCGUGACAAAAUAGAGAUCUCAAAGACAGAGGCAAGGGCAAAGUCUGUACCAGGAAGAAAAUAACCCUGUGCAAUAAUAAAGGCAGAGAGAUGAUUUAAUUAAUAAACAAACAAACAAACUCCACAACAAAACCAACCAACCAAAGGCAGAAAAGGAGUUGUGAGUGCAGGAGAGGCUCCCCUCAUGCACUCCAGCUCAGUGAUCAGGGCAGUGUGGCAGUGUCAGAGGUGCCCUUUUUGCUCUCUGCUAGGUGGCUCUCCUCUUGUUUGCCAGACCCUUUCCUUCAAAGGUUCCUUGGGCCACAGAACCCUAAGCCCUGCUGUGACACCAGCUGUUGGCCUGCAGCAUUUGCCUGCUGUCCCUGGGCCUUUUCCCCUCACCAGCAGGAUCCUUUCUGCCUCGCCACCAAAAGUCUGGAGUCCUUCUGGAGACACGAAUUGUCACCCCAGCAGUAUCGCCAGUGCCUGCAUGGAUGAGCAGCACAAGGUACUUGGUUCAUGCUCAGCUGGCUCUGGUGAUAGAUGUUGUUUCUUCCUGCCUGCUCCCAGGUAACUGCUGAUCACCCUGUGGGGGUUAGUACAGACCUGGGACCUACAGGAGCACCAGAUAUGAAGUCUGCGAUAUUAUUAAUGGGAUAACACUACUGGCUACUUCUGCUUACCUGCUACUGUUCUUUAAUGCAAGUUAGGGUGUCACCAGAUUUACACAAAAAGUGCCAAUAAACACUUGGUCUGAAUGAUUUAUCUCAUUCUAAAAUGAUUUAUUUUACUUUUGAUAACCAUUGAAAAGCUUUUGGAACACUGAGUCAUGACUACUGUGGAAGAAAGUGUAGCCAGCACUAUGAAAGGUAAGUCAUAGAAAUAAAAUAAGCCAAUACAAAAUCAUACUGUUCAAGGUUGGACUUUUAUUUAAGGCAAAAUAUAAUCACAGCUUUAAUAUUCAUAAUAUGGAUAUACACAGUUUGUUCUGCCACUAUGAAGCUCAGUAUUAUCACUGCUUUUAAAAAGCUAUAAAAUCUAGUUUCUAUCAUAAUCUACAAUACAAAACUAAUACAAUAAACACAUUCUGAAAGAUCACAGUGUUUAAAAUAUUAGAAAAGCAGGGGUCCUGCUUUCAAACAAUAAGGUGCAUCUCUAAAGAAUCAAAUCAGCCUUGAUUCUACAGGCCUGUACCACAUCAUGGCUGUGAAUGGCUGUAACACUGAGAAACCAAUCUAGGGUGUGGCACGUACUCAAGGAAUGAACAUCACACACUGGCAUAUACUGAAUAAUCAAGUGUCACCAACACAAACUAGACAUUAAAUAAUGCCAUUUAAGUUCCCUGUAGUUUUUAUUUGUAUUGGUAUUCACAUAUAUUGCAGAGAUAUUGAGAUAAAAUGUGUAUAAAUUGCUAUCAAACAGGGCCCUGCAUAUGCAAACACCUGUGCUUUCCUCAUACUAUGCAAACAAGCCUUACUAAUUCCAUGGGACUCAUGUGUAAAGGAAAGUUUGUAGGCCUGGGGUCUGGAAUGACAUAGUUUACCCCUGUUUCACACAUGUGGAAGGAGCUACUUUGCAUGCCUGGAAUCAAGCAGAGGUUCACCACAGACAUCAGCAGGUGGCCUAUCAGGCUGUUAAAAUGAGUGCAGGAGGCCAAUUCAGUGGCAAAACCAGACCAUUGUUAAAAGAAAUCCUUCUCUCUUGUGUGGUCAUGGUAAUGAAGACAGAAGCAGAGUUGAAUUUGUGGUCAGACAGCCUUCCUCUUCUAUAUGAUGUAAAAAUGUAUGUUGGACUAGAUUGUGUUUUCUAUUCCCUACAGGAUAUAAUUGACUUAAGAACUUUUACAUAGUGAUACAAUGCUGUUGCUGAAUGUCAGUACACUAUAAAUUCUCUUGUAUUCAAAUAUCAUUACACCACUGGACAAAAUAAGUUUUUAAUUAAUUUUCUGCCAUUCUAGCUGGUAUUGUUGUACUUGACCUAAAUGCUUCCAUCUUCUCUUUGAGUCAUGCCAUGAACAAAGUCAAGGGACUCCCUUCUAAGCAUUAAAAAUAAAUAUGGCCUUAUGCAUUUUCAAGCAGAUUCCUAUUUAUAAAUAUGUUUUUUGAGAGCAUGAUGUAGAAUUUCCAAUAUAUGGGGUGUAAGACCAAUGGUGACAGUACAAAUUAGUCAAGUUUAGUAAUUCAAAGGCAGAUUGUAUUUUUUUAAACUGCCUCAUCAUGGAUAGCGCACAUCACUUCUGUUAAAAGACAGGAGUAGGCAGUAGGUUCAGCUACAGGCAACUCCUUCACAGGCAAAUGUUUUUUAACAUUUGAUGACUUUGCUAUAAUGGCAAUGGAGUGCUGUUCCAGGCAGCUGAAACAUGCACAGUGCUUACUGUACCACUACCUGUGCCAUGAGACACUGUGCUAUUCCUCUGGAAAAUGCCUAUUCACAUCUCUAAAUUGCUGUAUUGUUUUGUGGGCCCUGAGCAUUUUUGGCUUAUGGCUUUGAAGUAUGUUGUUCCCUCAAAGUGGGAUUUUUGGUCAUUUUCUUAUUUCUUUUCAAUUUAGCUUUCAGCCGUUACUACUUAGUCUUAUAUAAACUGAAAUGUCUUCUCAGAGCAGUCCAGGCUGUGCUGCCAGUCAGCAAGUGUUAGCUCUUCAGAGCAAGAUUGCUCUUUGAAAAUCAAUCGGGCAAUUUUAGUCCUGAUAUGCUAAUCUUUCUACAGAUUAGAAUAUGCACUUAUGUCAGUGAAUAUUCAAGGUUUGUAGAAGAUUACUGCACCUGAGAUUUACUUGGCAGACCUCAGAGAUCCAAAGAACAAGGAUACAGUCUCAAAAUGCAUGCAUACACUAAAAUAGGUCACUGUUGGCAUAAAACAUGCAAUAUGUUGGCAGAUGCUGUAACUGUAUAUGCAGAAAACUAUGAAUACAAAAACUUGAUUGCUUAUCAAAGUUUCCAUUUGCACAUAUUGCCCCUCCACGUUUCUGAAUAGAGCAGAUACCUAGGGUUCAUUUUUUUCCACAGUAUUAAAAAACCAAUCAGUAUUCUUGUCAUAUUCUUUCCAUGUCCAUAUAUAAUCAGUAUUAGAACAUCAAAGUGGCAUUACUUAAUUUGACAGAGUAGCAAUAAAUGUGAUCCCUUUACUUGUAUUCCCUUAUGUAUGUUUCCCAGAACUAUUUAAAAGUGAAUUUUGGAAUGUUUAGCCAUUUCACUUGGUUUCGAUUGUCCUAACAGAACUGAAACACUGAAGCAUGGAGAUGUUGCCAUGCCCCCUAGAAAGUCUCUUUUAUUUAAUGAAGUAAAACACCAGUGACAGUUGUUAUAAAGGAUAAUGAUUUUUCCUUAGCAGGUGGAAAAUGGCACAGCCAGAGAGAAGAGACCAUCUGGGAGCAUAAAAUAAUGUAAUGCAAGUUAGUAGAACACCCUGCUUAAGCAAAAUCAAUCAAUCUUAUUUUCAGGAACAGAAGACCUGGGUUGCUUCUUCAGCCUCCUCAAGUUAUUCAAAGGUUGGGAAACAAAGGCAGGGAAAUUGAAGGCAACAAUGAUGCAAACAAAGUAGAUAUUGAAAGCAGUGGCACAAAAUAAACAUCUGAUUAUGAUGAGAAGUUGUGAGUAGCAAUUAAAAAUAAAUAUAUAUUUGUUAGAACUGUACUGCUGAUAAAACUUACAGCAUCUGGUUCUAUGAAUCCUGAAAUCAAUAAAUCUGGACACUACAGAUAAAGCUUCCCUUGAAAUUAUUCCCUGACAGUAAUCUAUGGAUGGCAGGCUAAAAGUCAUGAACAGUAUAUAGCUCCUUAAACUGAUGUGUAAUCUACAGCUUUACUCACAAACAGCACCACACAAACACAGGUACAUCACAAAUAAGCACCAAUACCCACAUAAUGCAUCCUCUUUGCUUUAACAGCAUAAUCAGAAAUACUAUUAUAUCACUUAAAUUCAUAUUGCCUACACUUUAGAAACUAAACACAACCAAGAAACUAAUGUGCAAACAUGACGUAGUUACUGUGUUUUACAUCCUGAAAGAGGCUUCUCAAUUUCCCACAACACAGUCUUUUGUCACAGCACCAGGGCAGAAUCUGUUCAGGAAUACAUUUUCCAGUUCCUAAGGGCCCAGUUUGGGAGCAGGAGGAGACAGCAUUCCAUGGAGAAUGUCUAGCAAAGGUUGCAAGGUUGAUUUCUCAAAGCAGGAAGAAGGGUACACAGAAGACCUUACUUUUUGUUACACUGGAAAGUGCUGACAGCUCUACUCAGGUUGCUGUUCUGUCAAUGUCUUAAAAGCAGCAAAUAAAGACUGCAAUGGCACAUUUGUAACAGCAUAUCUAGUACAGAGAAAAAAUCAGAUGAGACAAUAAAGAGGGGAAAGAUGAAAAAUCCCUGUUCAUUAAAUGAAUCGCAUUUUCCAAAGAGCCCUGGGGUGUAUUUGCACUGUGUUCAGAAGCUGUGACUAUAGCACAUCUAGAAGCCACCUUAACCCAGCCAGGUCAGGUAAGAAAAGCCACAAAUCUCUGAGAGUGAGCUCAAACUGCCAUGUCUGAUGAAAGAGAUGAACAAAUACGUUCCAAGAUUUUUACCAGAUAUAUCCCAUGAGACUGGAUGUUCAUGUGCUGCCCUUGCUGGAGUCAGUGCUGAACUCACAUAACCUGCAGAUAUGUCUGGGACCUAGAUUUCAAAAACUGGGUGGUUCCAUGAGUUUUCUCCUUGUUGAAUGGACUGACUCUUACUCAAAUAACUGUUUUGUCUCUCCAAAAUGUGGCUUCAUAUACAGAGAACGGUUGUGGGGAUAGGAGAUCUGUGUUGAGUGUGCUGUUGAUCACAACACAGAGGAGAUCAGAGUCUUCUCUGAAUGUGAAUUGGAAGAAAUUCUACAAAGAGAGACACAUAGGAGAAAGCACUAGAAAAGACACUGAGCUCAAUGUUUAUUCCCUGGCAUUUGUGAAGGAUCACAUUUAGAAGAAGUGGAUAGGCCAAGUUUUACCUUCCAAAUGUGUUACAGGAACCAACUAGAUAAAAAAUCCUAAUGGACUGGGGAUCUUCACUACUGACAGCUGGCUCUGCUCCGAUCCAACAGGAGCACUUCCACAGCGCUGGGCAGAGCACACUCACAUAUCCACUGACUUUUUGAUUCAGCCUCAUGUGUACACCCUCCCUAUGGAAUUCACCCCUCUGUGUGCACACAUCUCACUGUUUAGAGUAACCAAGUGACAUUAGUGGCUUUCUUAAAAGACCAUAUAGCCUUUUAACUUAUGUGUUUUAAUAAACACAUAACAAAUGUAUAUUGAGAUUUAACAUUUCCAUUCGCUGAAAGAUAUCUAAGUUCUUGACAAACUGAUACAGAACUGCAUUGCUUUAUUCACCAGUGAAAUAUGGUUAUUUCUAUGAUUAAGUAAUUAAUUAGAGCUGCACAGUGCAAGACAGAGUAACAGAAAUCCUUAUCUGCAGCUCAUAAUAAUGUAAGCCAUCUCAUUAAAAUAACAGUGGCAAGAGCAGGAAGGGAUUAUUAUAUUAAAAUGUGGAAGGAUUUCAAGACCUAGCUCCAACUUAUAGCCUGAUCAAAGCCCACUGAAAUGAAAUGGGAACUUUAAUCCAUUAGGCAUUAAAAAUAAAGAAAUUGUAAUCUCCUCCAGCUGAGAAUGCAGGAAGAGGGACUGCUUUGUUUGGCAGUGCAUGAACAGCAGCUUUUUCUCUCUAACUUCAGUUUUAGACAUACUGGUCUUCCUGAUUUGUCUUUACAGAUAUUAUUCCCAUAUAAAUAAAAAUAAAUAAAUAAAUAAAU
Passer domesticus (house sparrow) is the source of this 5812-nucleotide long non-coding RNA. RefSeq lists it as uncharacterized. The transcript is spliced from 2 exons. The record is from RefSeq and is a predicted model, not a curated record. NCBI's taxonomy places the organism in Eukaryota, Metazoa, Chordata, Aves, Passeriformes, Passeridae.